UACGUAGGGGGCAAGCGUUGUCCGGAAUCAUUGGGCGUAAAGCGCGCGUAGGUGGCCCGGUAAGUCCGCUCUGAAAGUCAAAGGCUCAACCUUUGAAAGCGGGUGGAUACUGUCGGGCUAGAGUCCGGAAGAGGCGAGUGGAAUUCCUGGUGUAGCGGUGGAAUGCGCAGAUAUCAGGAGGAACACCAACGGCGAAGGCGGCUCGCUGGGACGGUACUGACACUAAGGCGCGAAAGCAUGGGGAGCGAACAGG
This 253-nucleotide ribosomal RNA is filed under the name uncultured bacterium. RNAcentral describes it as "partial 16S ribosomal RNA". It matches the Rfam family "Bacterial small subunit ribosomal RNA", at positions 524 to 776 of the family's 1533-position model. The record is from RNAcentral.